RNAcentral lists this small nuclear RNA (100 nucleotides) under Jaculus jaculus (lesser Egyptian jerboa). Lineage: Eukaryota; Metazoa; Chordata; Mammalia; Rodentia; Dipodidae. The record is from RNAcentral.
AUACUUCGGCAGCACACAUACUAAAAUUGGAACAAUACAGAGAUUAGCAUGGCCCCUGCUUAAGGAUGAUGCACAAAUUUGAGAAGCAUUCCAUAUUUUU